ACAAUUACUAAAUAUACUUUAUUCAUCAUCAGAAUAUCUGUCCAAUGCAUACACUUAAAGAAAACAUCUCUUGGUUCCUCAGCAUUCAAAUAUCCUCAUAGAAUUGCGGACUGCCUGUCGACAGAGAGGACACUUCGGUGAUACCUCACGUUCAACUGAUAUAGCACAGAGUUGGCAACAAACAAGAUGCCCGCAUGGAAUGAAUGCAGAUCGUCUUCUCCUCAUCAAGCAUAUCACACACAACUGUCCAUCUGGCACAUCUCCUGCUUCCUCAUCUGCAUCAAUCAGAGGGGCAUCACCAUUGCUAGCAGCAUGGUUUUGUUGCUGAGACUGUCUAUGCUGCCUCCAUUCUUUCCACCUAUUCCAGUUCCUCACGACUGCAUAGCUGAGAACACCAAUUGAUAGUGAACCAAGAACAAUACCACUCCACAACAGUAUUUUUGUUUUGAAGGCAAGAUCUACCACCAUUUGAUCUUUACUCAUAUCGGACAGAAAAUAGGGAAGAUCCUUGCAAGAUUUUAUCUCAAGAACUCCAUUUCUAGAACUGCAAAUGCCAACAGCAUUGAUCUCCUUCC
Molecule: unclassified non-coding RNA, 575 nt
Filed under: Hevea brasiliensis (rubber tree)
Lineage: Eukaryota; Viridiplantae; Streptophyta; Magnoliopsida; Malpighiales; Euphorbiaceae
Source: RNAcentral